Molecule: ribosomal RNA, 1447 nt
Filed under: uncultured organism
Description: 16S ribosomal RNA
Rfam family: Bacterial small subunit ribosomal RNA
Source: RNAcentral
GACGAACGCUGGCGGCGUGCCUAAUACAUGCAAGUAGAACGCUGAAGAGAGGAGCUUGCUCUUCUUGGAUGAGUUGCGAACGGGUGAGUAACGCGUAGGUAACCUGCCUUGUAGCGGGGGAUAACUAUUGGAAACGAUAGCUAAUACCGCAUAACAAUGGAUGACACAUGUCAUUUAUUUGAAAGGGGCAAAUGCUCCACUACAAGAUGGACCUGCGUUGUAUUAGCUAGUAGGUGAGGUAACGGCUCACCUAGGCGACGAUACAUAGCCGACCUGAGAGGGUGAUCGGCCACACUGGGACUGAGACACGGCCCAGACUCCUACGGGAGGCAGCAGUAGGGAACCUUCGGCAAUGGGGGCAACCCUGACCGAGCAACGCCGCGUGAGUGAAGAAGGUUUUCGGAUCGUAAAGCUCUGUUGUAAGUCAAGAACGAGUGUGAGAGUGGAAAGUUCACACUGUGACGGUAGCUUACCAGAAAGGGACGGCUAACUACGUGCCAGCAGCCGCGGUAAUACGUAGGUCCCGAGCGUUGUCCGGAUUUAUUGGGCGUAAAGCGAGCGCAGGCGGUUUGAUAAGUCUGAAGUUAAAGGCUGUGGCUCAACCAUAGUUCGCUUUGGAAACUGUCAAACUUGAGUGCAGAAGGGGAGAGUGGAAUUCCAUGUGUAGCGGUGAAAUGCGUAGAUAUAUGGAGGAACACCGGUGACGAAAGCGGCUCUCUGGUCUGUAACUGACGCUGAGGAUCGAAAGCGUGGGGAGCGAACAGGAUUAGAUACCCUGGUAGUCCACGCCGUAAACGAUGAGUGCUAGGUGUUGGAUCCUUUCCGGGAUUCAGUGCCGCAGCUAACGCAUUAAGCACUCCGCCUGGGGAGUACGACCGCAAGGUUGAAACUCAAAGGAAUUGACGGGGGCCCGCACAAGCGGUGGAGCAUGUGGUUUAAUUCGAAGCAACGCGAAGAACCUUACCAGGUCUUGACAUCCCGAUGCUAUUUCUAGAGAUAGAAAGUUACUUCGGUACAUUGGUGACAGGUGGUGCAUGGUUGUCGUCAGCUCGUGUCGUGAGAUGUUGGGUUAAGUCCCGCAACGAGCGCAACCCCUAUUGUUAGUUGCCAUCAUUCAGUUGGGCACUCUAGCAAGACUGCCGGUAAUAAACCGGAGGAAGGUGGGGAUGACGUCAAAUCAUCAUGCCCCUUAUGACCUGGGCUACACACGUGCUACAAUGGUUGGUACAACGAGUUGCGAGUCGGUGACGGCAAGCUAAUCUCUUAAAGCCAAUCUCAGUUCGGAUUGUAGGCUGCAACUCGCCUACAUGAAGUCGGAAUCGCUAGUAAUCGCGGAUCAGCACGCCGCGGUGAAUACGUUCCCGGGCCUUGUACACACCGCCCGUCACACCACGAGAGUUUGUAACACCCGAAGUCGAAGAGGUAACCUUUUGGAGCCAGCCGCCUA